Long non-coding RNA from Myotis myotis, 594 nucleotides. RefSeq lists it as uncharacterized. The transcript is spliced from 4 exons. Lineage: Eukaryota; Metazoa; Chordata; Mammalia; Chiroptera; Vespertilionidae. The record is from RefSeq and is a predicted model, not a curated record.
AGUCCCAAGUCUGUUUCUGGGUCAGACCAGCCAGAGCAGGAGGAGAGAGGUUGGCCUCCUCCUCAAGGUGUGAGCUCUGAUUCCUGGAGAAGAUGCCGGUAACAGGAAGUACCGCACUCAAGCUCCUUUUGGGCGGGAGCGGUCUGAAAUUACUGUUAUCAGUAACAGGGCCUGGUGCGCUUGUGCUAGCCGUGGGCUCCGUGGCAGCAGGACUCACAGGAAUCAGCUUCUUCUGGUGGAAUAAGGCCAAGGAAUACAAGAUGCAGGAAAAGCAGUCCUCAGGUUACCUACAUCAUGUCCUGGUUACGACAGGAAUUGUUACCUUUCUUUUCAUUUUUUAUUACUGUUUCACUUCAUUUCUCACUGUUGAAAAAAAUGCCGUUAUGUCAAACUAUAGAAACUGAUCUCCCAGGUUACCCGAGGACCUACUCUAUUAUUGACAGGAAUCCUUUCCAAUCCCCUGGCCAAAAGCAGAAGGCUCCACCUUCCUGGGGAACGUGUGCAGCAACAUGCUACACACAGCUUAUAUGUUGAGUAUAAACAAGUCAACUUUUGAGCAAAAUCAAAAUUAAUUAAAUACACAUUGAUUGAGUG